RNAcentral lists this long non-coding RNA (1025 nucleotides) under Penaeus japonicus. RNAcentral's name for it is "uncharacterized LOC122257372". The record is from RNAcentral. Lineage: Eukaryota; Metazoa; Arthropoda; Malacostraca; Decapoda; Penaeidae.
CACAGCCUCCUGAUAACGGACGCCAUCUUAUCGCCUUCACUACCAAAACAGACCAACCCAAAGAAAAAAAGUAAUUGACGUAUAUCUACACUCUAGAAAAGGAAGCCGGUGCAACUGCAACGCAUGCAAGCAUACAGAGAAGUGACGGGUGCGGCAGAAACAGCACAAGGUGUAACAUCCAUGUGAAAACCACAGUACAACCACCGCCCUUACUCUUUCCGUCACGCAUGGUUCUAGCGCUGUUGCAUCUAAGUAAUGGAUGAGGGGCUGCGGCCUUGAAGAUCAAGACAGCUGACUUUGAGCCAUGUCUUCUGGUAGCUGAUAAUCAUCCAGAUUUAGAACUGCGUCAAUUGCCACUCGGAACUCGUGCUCCGGUAAAGACCAACAAAGCUCCACUGCAUAUAUAUAGGUACGUGGUGUCAAAGGCAGUCAGUGUGAGCGUUUAUAACCAAGUGUUGGUAUUCCAAGGACGAGAGCGAGGUGGCCGGAACACCGUGCUUUGUCAACAGAUGGCGAUGUUGUGGUAGUGUGUCGCUUUAUUGAGACGACAGUGCAUGCAAGCUCUCCUGUCUUCCUUAUGCAAUGUUUUUUUUCGUAGGCUGGAAAGGAGAGAAUAGGUUUUGUUUAUAUAUUUUUUUUUACUUGGCUGUUAUUGGUAUGCUUGGAUUUUAUGGAGGUGUUUUUUAAUUAUUUAUUUAUUUAUUUAUUUUAUUAUUAUUAUUUUUUACUUUCUUCGUUCUUCUCACCUUUAUCGAGUCUCCGUCUUCGUUUCGUUUCUUAUUCACGUCCUUCUUAUCUUUUUUUUUUUCUCUGUCUCUCUCUCCUUCCUUUCCCUCGUCCUAUCUCCUUCAUGCUCUCUUUUUCUGCUUAUUUAUUUUAUCUAUCUCUUGUCUCCUUCGUUAUUGUAUUCCCUGUUUUCGGUCUUCAAUCUUCCCUCUUUCUCUAGAUCUUCUUUCAUUCUUUCUUCCCCCUCGAUGUUUUCCUUUGUGCAGUCUUCUUCUCUUCCUCGCCUCUUCUUUAUACAA